Helianthus annuus (common sunflower) is the source of this 567-nucleotide long non-coding RNA. RefSeq lists it as uncharacterized. The transcript has 2 exons. Lineage: Eukaryota; Viridiplantae; Streptophyta; Magnoliopsida; Asterales; Asteraceae. The record is from RefSeq and is a predicted model, not a curated record.
GCUAGCAUAACAUUGCACUCUGCCACCACGUCGCCAUUGGCUCUCGGUUAACCGUUAAAUUUAGGGGCAUUAUGGUAAAUUUGUUGGCCAAACUUCUCAACCACUCAUCCUCUCCUCCCUCCUCUUAUCCCCUUCACACCCUGCCACCCCUAUUUCUUCCACCGGACGACCCACACCUCCACACACACUAUACCACCGCCACCGUCGACGACCACUUGAUCACCACCACAGUCGCACCACCGCCUCCUUGACUCCUCCAUCGUAUCCCUUUUACACCUACAUUACAGUACCUACACACACUACAGCAUGGUUCUUGAAGUUCGAUUCACGGUGACUACUCCAGCAUUCCAUGGGGGAUUCGGAGACUUCUACACAAUCACCGUCGUCUCAUCACCACCGUCUCAUCACCAUCUACAAUCGUCUCCUACCUUCACCAAAACUAGGUCUUGGGUUAAUUAUCUUUUGGGUUAUGUAUAAUCAUCUAACUUAUAUAACUUUUUUAUAUGUCUAGCUUAUCUAACUUUUGUAAAAACUAAAUGCUUAUGGAUUGGGUAACUUUUAUGGUAA